Dreissena polymorpha is the source of this 772-nucleotide long non-coding RNA. RefSeq lists it as uncharacterized. The record is from RefSeq and is a predicted model, not a curated record. NCBI's taxonomy places the organism in Eukaryota, Metazoa, Mollusca, Bivalvia, Myida, Dreissenidae. The transcript has 3 exons.
UCACUUGAAUUGGAAAAGAAACAAAAAGAAAAGAAACGAGAAGAACAGAAAGAAGAAAAAGAUAUUGAAUAUCAGGGGUAACUUGAAUUGGAAAGGAAACAAAAAGAAAAGAAACAAGAAGAACAGAAAGAAGAAAGAGAAAUUGAAUAUCAGGGGUCACUUUAAUUGGAAAAGAAACAAAAAGAAAAGAAACAAGAAGAACAGAAAGAAGAAAUAGAAAUCGAAACUAUUAGACAAACAUUUGAGAACAAGGCAAUACCGAUAUUCGCAGGUCGGCCCAAAGUGUUUCUAAUCCAAGCCUGCCAAGGCGAAAUAGAUACGGAAGUAACAGCAAAUGUGCCGAGACAACUGAUUUCCAUUCCGAACGAUGCGGAUACGGUGAUUGCAUUUUCUACCUGAGUUUGUUGCUCAUCGGGAUCGGAGCGAAGGAAGUCCCUUUAUUAGAAUUUGUAUCGAGGUGUUUAAAGCAUAUUUUAAAGAUCAUCAUUUAGAAGAAAUGCUUAUCGCGGUUAGAGAACAAUUGAAGGCUAUACCAUUUACGGAUCCAGAUGAUGGUAAACAAUAUACACAGCUGGCAUGCGUUUGGAGCAGUUUAACCAAGGCUUUGUUUUUCCCAACACGUCAAACGAACUAAGGAAUUGGAGUUUUGUAAGAAACAAUCGGCUCUUAACGAUAUUCUGAUUAUAAUUUCCGAUAAAGAAUGUGUACACUUAACAUUUGACUAACUAUUUACAUUUAAGAACAUAUUCAGAGAUUGCGUAAGAUUUAUGUU